ACUUUGAUCGAUUUCUUCGGAAUGAAGUUUUAGUGACUGAGUGGCGGACGGGUGAGUAACGCGUGGGUAACCUGCCUCACACUGGGGGAUAACAGUUAGAAAUAGCUGCUAAUACCGCAUAAGCGCACGGUACCGCAUGGUACAGUGUGAAAAACUCCGGUGGUGUGAGAUGGAUCCGCGUCUGAUUAGGUAGUUGGUGAGGUAACGGCCCACCAAGCCGACGAUGGAUAGGGGUUCUGAGAGGAAGGUCCCCACAUUGGAACUGAGACACGGUCCAAACUCC
Molecule: ribosomal RNA, 283 nt
Filed under: uncultured Eubacteriales bacterium
Lineage: Bacteria; Bacillati; Bacillota; Clostridia; Eubacteriales
Description: uncultured Clostridiales bacterium partial 16S ribosomal RNA
Rfam family: Bacterial small subunit ribosomal RNA (bases 46-283)
Source: RNAcentral